This 920-nucleotide ribosomal RNA is filed under the name Vibrio sp. j21434. RNAcentral describes it as "bacterial SSU rRNA". It matches the Rfam family "Bacterial small subunit ribosomal RNA", at positions 38 to 938 of the family's 1533-position model. Lineage: Bacteria; Pseudomonadati; Pseudomonadota; Gammaproteobacteria; Vibrionales; Vibrionaceae. The record is from RNAcentral.
AGAUGUGGCGGCUACCAUGCGCGUCGAGCGGAACGAGUUGUCUGAACCUUCGGGGAACGAUAACGGCGUCGAGCGGCGGACGGGUGAGUAAUGCCUGGGAAAUUGCCCUGAUGUGGGGGAUAACCAUUGGAAACGAUGGCUAAUACCGCAUAAUAGCUUCGGCUCAAAGAGGGGGACCUUCGGGCCUCUCGCGUCAGGAUAUGCCCAGGUGGGAUUAGCUAGUUGGUGAGGUAAUGGCUCACCAAGGCGACGAUCCCUAGCUGGUCUGAGAGGAUGAUCAGCCACACUGGAACUGAGACACGGUCCAGACUACUACGGGAGGCAGCAGUGGGGAAUAUUGCACAAUGGGCGCAAGCCUGAUGCAGCCAUGCCGCGUGUAUGAAGAAGGCCUUCGGGUUGUAAAGUACUUUCAGCAGUGAGGAAGGUGGAUGUGUUAAUAGCACUUUCAUUUGACGUUAGCUGCAGAAGAAGCACCGGCUAACUCCGUGCCAGCAGCCGCGGUAAUACGGAGGGUGCGAGCGUUAAUCGGAAUUACUGGGCGUAAAGCGCAUGCAGGUGGUUUGUUAAGUCAGAUGUGAAAGCCCGGGGCUCAACCUCGGAAUUGCAUUUGAAACUGGCAGACUAGAGUACUGUAGAGGGGGGUAGAAUUUCAGGUGUAGCGGUGAAAUGCGUAGAGAUCUGAAGGAAUACCGGUGGCGAAGGCGGCCCCCUGGACAGAUACUGACACUCAGAUGCGAAAGCGUGGGGAGCAAACAGGAUUAGAUACCCUGGUAGUCCACGCCGUAAACGAUGUCUACUUGGAGGUUGUGGCCUUGAGCCGUGGCUUUCGGAGCUAACGCGUUAAGUAGACCGCCUGGGGAGUACGGUCGCAAGAUUAAAACUCAAAUGAAUUGACGGGGGGCCCGCACAAGCGGUGGAAG